This 392-nucleotide ribosomal RNA is filed under the name uncultured Gammaproteobacteria bacterium. RNAcentral's name for it is "bacterial SSU rRNA". It matches the Rfam family "Bacterial small subunit ribosomal RNA", at positions 370 to 779 of the family's 1533-position model. The record is from RNAcentral. Lineage: Bacteria; Pseudomonadati; Pseudomonadota; Gammaproteobacteria.
AAUGGGCGCAAGCCUGAUCCAGCCAUGCCGCGUGAGUGAUGAAGGCCCUUGGGUCGUAAAGCUCUUUCGCCAGGGAUGAUAAUGACAGUACCUGGUAAAGAAACCCCGGCUAACUCCGUGCCAGCAGCCGCGGUAAUACGGAGGGGGUUAGCGUUGUUCGGAAUUACUGGGCGUAAAGCGCGCGUAGGCGGAUUAGUCAGUCAGAGGUGAAAUCCCAGGGCUCAACCCUGGAACUGCCUUUGAUACUGCUAGUCUUGAGUUCGAGAGAGGUAAGUGGAAUUCCGAGUGUAGAGGUGAAAUUCGUAGAUAUUCGGAGGAACACCAGUGGCGAAGGCGGCUUACUGGCUCGAUACCGACGCUGAGGUGCGAAAGUGUGGGGAGCAAACAGGAUU